Molecule: ribosomal RNA, 381 nt
Filed under: uncultured bacterium
Lineage: Bacteria
Description: partial 16S ribosomal RNA
Rfam family: Bacterial small subunit ribosomal RNA
Source: RNAcentral
CCUACGGGAGGCAGCAGUGGGGAAUAUUGGGCAAUGGAGGCAACUCUGACCCAGCAACGCCGCGUGAAUGAUGAAGGUCUUCGGAUUGUAAAGUUCUGUGAUGGGGGAUGAACACAAUGACGGUACCCCAAUAGCAAGCCACGGCUAACUACUUGCCAGAAGACGCGGUAAUACGUAGGUGGCAAGCGUUAUCCGGAAUGACUGGGCGCAAAGGGUGCGUAGGUGGUUUAGUAAGUUGGCGAUGUAAUUCCGGGGCUCACACUCGGGGCUACCGCCAAAACUAUUAGACUAGAGUGCAGGAGGGGGAAGUGGAAUGCCAUGUGUAGCGGUGGAAUGCGUAGAUAUUAGGAGGAACAGCAGGGGCGAAGGCGACUUACUGGA